UGGGGAAUAUUGGACAAUGGGGGCAACCCUGAUCCAGCGAUGCCGCGUGGGUGAAGAAGGCCUUCGGGUUGUAAAGCCCUUUAGGUUAGGAAGAAGUGUAUGGGAGGAUAAUGCCUGUACAUUGACGGUACUAACAGAAUAAGCACCGGCAAACUCUGUGCCAGCAGCCGCGGUAAUACAGAGGGUGCGAGCGUUAAUCGGAAUUACUUGGGCGUAAAGGGUGCGUAGGCGGUAAUAUUAGUGUGAUGUGAAAGCCCUGGGCUUAACCUAGGAAGUGCAUCACAAACGGUAUAACUGGAGUAUAUGAGAGGGUGGCGGAAUUUCCGGUGUAGCGGUGAAAUGCGUAGAGAUCGGAAGGAACGUCGAUGGCGAAGGCAGCCACCUGGCAUAAUACUGACGCUGAGGCACGAAAGCGUGGGUAGCGAACAG
Molecule: ribosomal RNA, 429 nt
Filed under: uncultured bacterium
Lineage: Bacteria
Description: bacterial SSU rRNA
Rfam family: Bacterial small subunit ribosomal RNA
Source: RNAcentral